This 468-nucleotide ribosomal RNA is filed under the name uncultured bacterium. Its description in RNAcentral is "bacterial SSU rRNA". It matches the Rfam family "Bacterial small subunit ribosomal RNA", at positions 28 to 507 of the family's 1533-position model. The record is from RNAcentral.
GAUGAACGCUAGCGGGAGGCUUAAUACAUGCAAGUCGAGCGCCCCGCAAGGGGAGCGGCGCACGGGUGAGUAACACGUACGCAAUCUACCUUAUGCUGGGGGAUAGCCCUGGGAAACUGGGAGUAAUCCGCCAUAGUAUUCAUGGAUGGCAUCAUUUAUGGAUUAAAGUGUUAGCGGCAUAAGAUGAGCGUGCGUCUGAUUAGCUAGUUGGAGUGGUAACGGCACACCAAGGCUACGAUCAGUAAGGGGCGUGAGAGCGUGGCCCCUCACACGGGUACUGAGACACGGACCCGACUCCUACGGGAGGCAGCAGUAAGGAAUAUUGGACAAUGGGCGGAAGCCUGAUCCAGCCAUCCCGCGUGCAGGAUGAAGGCCCCCCGGGUCGUAAACUGCUUUAGACUGGGAAGAAACCACUUGACGAGUCAGGUGUUGACGGUACCAGUAGAAUAAGCACCGGCUAACUCCGUG